Molecule: long non-coding RNA, 2428 nt
Organism: Zea mays
Lineage: Eukaryota; Viridiplantae; Streptophyta; Magnoliopsida; Poales; Poaceae
Exons: 2
Source: RefSeq, a predicted model, not a curated record
GCCUAACUGCCCCCUGCGACCCUGCCGGCCUCCAUUUCGUCGGUGUGCUGCGUCUGCCUCUCCUGCUGUUGGUCUUGGUUCAUUGCGGCUGACGUACGUAGGUGCUGGAUCCGUUGUGGUUUUGUGGCACAGGUACCCGACCUCCGCCACCGCCCGCCAAGUGCCCAGGCACCCGACUGCCGUGGUGCCGCCGACUGCCACCGCCUGCCUGCCCAGCGCCUAGGCACCCAGCGCCCAGCCCAGAUUGAAAAAUAAAGAGGAAAAGCAGUGCUACCACUGAUUUGAUAGCUUUUUUAGCAAGAUUUGCUGUAAAAAAGAAGGAUAUUGUUGCUCCAUCUUCCAAUGAAAGAGAGAUGCAAUUGGUGAUAUUUCAAGGACAGACUGAAACUAGUAAUACAACACCCACAGAACAAGAGAGAGUUGAGCCUGAACCUCCAAUAAUAGAAGAUGUUGAAAACAAUGAUGAUUUUGAAUCAGUGCGCUUGAAUAGGACAACAUCGAGUGAGGAUAAUGAUAGUGAUGAUACUUAUAUUUAUGGCAUUGAGCAUGAUCCUGGAUUGAUGACUCCAAUCUCAAGCUAUUCUAUUAAUAACCAAGAUGCAGUUACAAGGGCCUAUAUUGCAUUGGGGCCAUGUCGACCAAAGAUGAAGAAGGAUGAUUUUCCCCAACAUGAAUGUGGAGGUAUGUGUCGCUUCCUACCAAAGUGGUUUUCCGAGUUUUGUAGGCUUGAGUAUAGUGUGGAUAAAGAUGUUGCAUAUUGUUUCGUUUGCUAUCUGUUCAAAGAUAACAACAAAUUCCCUGGUGGAGAUGCUUUCGUUAAUGAGGGGUUUAGAAAUUGGAAUGUUAAAGCUAGAUUGCUUAAGGGUUGGUGUUGUUGAUAGUGCUCAUUGUGAAGCUGAGGAGAAAUAUAAUUUAUUUUUGACACCUAAAACAUCAAUCCGUGAGUCAGUUACCUCAAAUAUUUUAUUGUAUAAGGCUCAAAAAUAAAUUUGAGAAGCCUAGAGAAGAGAUGAAAACUUCAAAAAUUUGAGAAGCCUAGCAGAGUUAUCUAUGAUGCUUGUCAAAACAGAUAAGAUUCUUUGGUAUGACAUUGUUUACAAGCUUCUCAAAUUGGUGCUAGUUCUUCAUGUUACAACUGCCGGUGUUGAAAGAAUCUUUUCUUCAAUGAACUUUAUAAAAAAUAAGCUAAGAAGCAAGAUGAGACAAAAAAAUUUAAAUGGAUGCUUGGUUAUUUUUAUUGAAAGACAAUUCUUCUUGCAAGUCAAAAAUGAGGACAUUAUCAGUCAAUUUCAAAGCUUGAAGGAUCAUAAAGUUGUCUAGUAAGCAUCCUUAUACUAUUUAAUGUUCUCCUGACCUAUUAUUUUUACGUGAGUUAUGAUUUAGCUUACUACUUUUGUAAUGUGUAUAUUCUAUUAUAUGCUAUAACUAUCUAUACGUGAAUCAAUUAGACCAUCUAAUUUUUUUUCCUUUAGUACAAUUUGGAAUACCCAUUCUAUCCUGGUCCCGUCCCUGGAAGCCACGGACAAGCCACAGUCCACAGAUUUCAGAACAAGCAGCUUGCUUCACUCGCACUGACACGAGUCCAGCAUCUCUCCGUUUCAUUUGAACUACAACUAAUCUUUGCCAACUAACCAAUCAGGAUGUACACCAAGCGAGGGUACCUAUAGAGUAGAGACUAAAGUUGAGUAAAGUUGGUGUCCCCAAACAGCUCGGCAGAGUCAGAGAUCCUACUGCCGGUAGGCGCUGCUGUUGGAUUGCGAUCCUGGUUUCCCCUGCUUCGACUUGGACAACGACCGGCCGCCGCCAGUGGCAGGCCGUGCAUCCGUCAGCUCCUUCACGACCGCGGUCAUGGAGGGCCUUUGGCUCGCCUCCCUGGCCGCGCACCGCAGCGCCACUGACAGGACCUUACUCACCUCCUCCAUCUCCACCGUGCCGAAGACUUCCUCCAUGAGGGCCGGGUCGCAGACGGCCUCGAUUUUGUCAGUGCCGUUCAGGGCGGACGACGCCCAGCUGACUAUGUCCGUGCCGUCGGGAAACGAGGGAUCCACCGCCGCCCUCCUCGUGAGCAGCUCCAGCAGCACCACGCCGUAGCUGUACACGUCGGACUCCAUGCUGCUCUUGGUGGAGAACGCUAACUCUGCAAGGCAGCGCAGCGCAUGCUCAUUAGGUAUGCAUCGGUGUGUAUUCUGAUUUCUGAAGACCAAAAUUUUCAUAGUUCCAAGAUGACAAGUUCACCAGCACAUCAGUAUUUACGUAUACAACGAAAAGAUAACAUGACAGUAUCUGACAGAUUGAAUUUCGAAAUAAUUUAUACAGAUAAUUUCUAAGUUCAGAGGGAUUACAGAUUAAACUGUUUGUAAGCUUCUCCAUGACUUAACGACCUUCUGAGGUGUAAUUAAUUGGUAAAGCAGAUGUUUUGCAUUGAUAA